UUGAUCCAAAGCUUAAGGGAGAGUGCCCUCCUAAAGGAGUCUGGGUUGAUUUCAUAUGCAUGGAUUUUCUGCUUCCGGUUGGAGAUUUCAAUGUUUAAGAUCAAUGAAUGAAGGGAUUAGAUUGGAAUCAUCAGAUGGUAGGAUCAUUAAGCGGUACUUGCGGUUGUCCUGUCUGUGCUUUUAUCUCCUUUGCACCCCAAAGUCAGUUAUCGUAUUCUAAUGGGAAAAAAUCGCUUGUUAAAUUCAGUCCACGUACAGUUAGAUUUACUGCUUUCUUUCUUGCUCUCCAGUAGAUUGUUUUGUUCAUUUUGGGAUUGGUGUUGCAGAAUUUAUGAGCGUUCAGUGUAUAGUCUUGCUUUCAGAACCAGGAUUAACGGUACAAGCGCGAAGCAGAUCAAAGUUAUAUAUAGUUGGGAUGGUUCGGGGUUAAUCUAGAGUCACUGUCCAUUGUCCAGCGGCUUCAUACCAGAGUAUGAAAAAUGCCCAAGUGGGCAUUGAAUUGGAUUCAUUUUCAUGUACGACCAAAAUAGCAGUCGCAUAAUGGACGUAAAAGGCCACGUCACCACCGAAGGAGAGGCUGUAGUAUGGGCAGUGGAGAUGUCUCUAACAAAAUUCUACAUAGACAAGACAGUGCAUGAGUUUACGCAAGAAAGGAAAAUGGCAAUGCAUACAUGGAUACCUUGCCCUGUUGUUGCAGUUAUAGUAGACAAAUCAAAUGUACGUCCUCCAGAUAAUUCUAAUUCUUCCACUAUCAUGUGUUUAACAGAAGGUGGUCCUACUAAGUUACUACUAGGAAAUGAAGAAAAAAAUAAAAAAGAGAAGGGGCAAGCUACAUUACAAACACAAGUAAAAGACACUUCAAUAUAGAAGAACACAAAACCCCCCACACAGAGACAUAUGGAGAGAGGAUGUGUAAAAUUAAACGAUACAAUGCAAUCAUCACUAGCAAGCAACAUCGGAAUUGAAAAUUAAAGAAACACCAUGCCAACUAUGAGAACAAAACUUAGAUUGUACAUCAUCCUUCAAAGGAGCAGAUUUCCAUGGAGAUUUGGAACCACAACCUUGUCAUGAGAUGAGUUCUAACGAAUUGCGCUAAGCAGUUGUUGGGUA
Molecule: long non-coding RNA, 1110 nt
Organism: Papaver somniferum (opium poppy)
Lineage: Eukaryota; Viridiplantae; Streptophyta; Magnoliopsida; Ranunculales; Papaveraceae
Exons: 2
Source: RefSeq, a predicted model, not a curated record